GUAGUCUCGCACAGACGCAUAUCAAUAAGCGGAGGAAAAGAAACUAACAAGGAUUCCCCUAGUAACGGCGAGUGAAGCGGGAAGAGCUCAAAUUUGAAAUCUUAAAGGGUUUCCCUUUACGAAUUGUAGUUUAAAGAAGUGUUUUCUGUUGAGGUUUUGGUAAAAGUUCUUUGGAAUAGGACAUCAUAGAGGGUGAGAAUCCCGUAUUUGACCUUUACUUUCAACUUUGUGAUACACUUUCAAAGAGUCGGAUUGUUUGGGGAAUGCAGUCCAAAAUGGGUGGUAAAUUUCAUCUAAAGCUAAAUAUUGGCGAGAGACCGAUAGCGAACAAGUACCGUGAGGGAAAGAUGAAAAGAACUUUGAAAAGAGAGUUAAACAGUACGUGAAAUUGUCAAAAGGGAAGCGUUUGACACCAGUGUUGUUUUUCUGAAAAUCAGUUAAAGAACUGUUUAUGCUAAGCUGUUUAGACUUUAUCAGCUAUCUGUUUAGUUUUGAGCUUUUCUUUAGUGCACUUUUCAGUUAACAAGUCAACAUCAAUUUCUUUUGCUGUAAAAAAGCUUGAGGAAGGUGGCUUGAGAUUCGUCUUAAGUGUUUAUAGCCUCUUGCCUAUGCAGUCGGAGAGAUUGAGGUCUGCAGCGUAGAUCCUUCGGGGCUAAAUGCAUUUGUGCUAAGUUAUAGCAUUUCAUAGACAACUUGUUGACUAUGAUUUGUCUCGUAGCUUACUCGCUUAUGUUAUUUUACCUACGCUUAGGAUGUUGACAGCAGUAUAGACUGU
Molecule: ribosomal RNA, 775 nt
Filed under: uncultured Neocallimastigales
Lineage: Eukaryota; Fungi; Neocallimastigomycota; Neocallimastigomycetes; Neocallimastigales
Description: partial large subunit ribosomal RNA
Rfam family: Eukaryotic large subunit ribosomal RNA
Source: RNAcentral